AUUGGUGAGGCGAAUUUUCAUGGGGUUUGCAGUUUGAAAAAAUUCUUCGUUGAGGAUAGAUCGCUAUUUUUUAGGAGUAAUUUUAAAUUCGAACGAGUUCAACGAUUUUUUCGUGAACAGAACAAAACAAAUCGAUCAAAAUGUUCAAGAGCCAUUUGGAAAUGAUUGGGCGCAACGAGAGCCCCAGCAAGAAGGCCAAGUUCUGGCAAUCCUACAUCAGGUCCCUGAAGGGCUCUGAGGAUAUCCGCGCCCACGAGGCGCCAAGGGCUUCUCGUCCCUACAGCUCCUACCUGGAGUCGCCCACAUACAGGAGCAUCUAUGACGAGCCCUCCACCGCCAACGAGCGUGUCCAGUCCUCUGGCUACAGAUAUCUGCCAGUGAGCCGUGACACCUACGGCUACUCGCCACGUGCCAUCUACGAUCAUCACUACAGCCGAACAAAGAAGGCCUGGAAUGAUCAUCUGAAGCGCAUGCAGGAGAUCGAGCGCAGGUACCCAUCUCGCUAUGGUCUGUACUUGAAGGACAAGCCACUCACCCCCAACGCUCUGGUGCCCCUGGAGUACGAGCCAGAGGACAAGCUUCUGGCGGAGCUCAACAAGGCUCGUCGCUCGGCCUCUCCGUUCCGCCCCAGCCGCACCACCCGCGCUGGCAGCGAGCCGUACGUGCCCCCACCAACCUAUUGGGGCCGCGAGGGCAGCGUGCCCCGCGGACCAUCGGUCUUCGACCGUGCCACCAGCUUGGCUCCGUUCACGCGUCCCAGCUUCCGCGCCAGCUCGCUGGAACCCCUGGAUGAACUCUUUGAAAGACUUCCGAUCUUCCACCCACGCAACCGCUUCAGGGAUCUGCUGAGCCCCAGCCCCAACUUGCCGGUCUCCUCGAUCGUGCGCGAUCCCUUCUGGUGGGACGUGGAUGACCUGGUGCCCUUCCGUGCCACCUCGGUGCCCCGUGCCUCGAGCCCCGUGGCCCGUGAUUCGUACUUGUCGCCGGUGAAGAAUCGCUACUUGUGGUCCAAGCACCCCGCCAGACCCUUGACACCUGAGGAAGAGGAUUUUUUCUAAAAUAAAUCUCUAGAUACAAAAUCACAAAUCGUUUAGCUAUAAUAACAAAGCGACGCUAUAUCAAUCAUAUAGCAAUUCUGUAAUUUUUUUGUACUUAAUUUUACAUAAAUUACAUGUAACGAACUGUAAAAAAAAGCAAAUUGCUCACCGCUCAAUUUUGUAAACGAACGAAACAACGAACUUUUCAACAACAAGAACAUCC
RNAcentral lists this unclassified non-coding RNA (1260 nucleotides) under Drosophila ananassae. RNAcentral describes it as "GF17159". The record is from RNAcentral. Lineage: Eukaryota; Metazoa; Arthropoda; Insecta; Diptera; Drosophilidae.